RNAcentral lists this ribosomal RNA (2929 nucleotides) under Escherichia fergusonii. Its description in RNAcentral is "23S ribosomal RNA". It matches the Rfam family "Bacterial large subunit ribosomal RNA". The record is from RNAcentral. Lineage: Bacteria; Pseudomonadati; Pseudomonadota; Gammaproteobacteria; Enterobacterales; Enterobacteriaceae.
GGGUUGUGAGGUUAAGCGACUAAGCGUACACGGUGGAUGCCCUGGCAGUCAGAGGCGAUGAAGGACGUGCUAAUCUGCGAUAAGCGUCGGUAAGGUGAUAUGAACCGUUAUAACCGGCGAUUUCCGAAUGGGGAAACCCAGUGUGAUUCGUCACACUAUCAUUAACUGAAUCCAUAGGUUAAUGAGGCGAACCGGGGGAACUGAAACAUCUAAGUACCCCGAGGAAAAGAAAUCAACCGAGAUUCCCCCAGUAGCGGCGAGCGAACGGGGAGGAGCCCAGAGCCUGAAUCAGUGUGUGUGUUAGUGGAAGCGUCUGGAAAGGCGCGCGAUACAGGGUGACAGCCCCGUACACAAAAAUGCACAUAUUGUGAGCUCGAUGAGUAGGGCGGGACACGUGGUAUCCUGUCUGAAUAUGGGGGGACCAUCCUCCAAGGCUAAAUACUCCUGACUGACCGAUAGUGAACCAGUACCGUGAGGGAAAGGCGAAAAGAACCCCGGCGAGGGGAGUGAAAAAGAACCUGAAACCGUGUACGUACAAGCAGUGGGAGCCUCUUUAUGGGGUGACUGCGUACCUUUUGUAUAAUGGGUCAGCGACUUAUAUUCUGUAGCAAGGUUAACCGAAUAGGGGAGCCGAAGGGAAACCGAGUCUUAACUGGGCGUUAAGUUGCAGGGUAUAGACCCGAAACCCGGUGAUCUAGCCAUGGGCAGGUUGAAGGUUGGGUAACACUAACUGGAGGACCGAACCGACUAAUGUUGAAAAAUUAGCGGAUGACUUGUGGCUGGGGGUGAAAGGCCAAUCAAACCGGGAGAUAGCUGGUUCUCCCCGAAAGCUAUUUAGGUAGCGCCUCGUGAAUUCAUCUCCGGGGGUAGAGCACUGUUUCGGCAAGGGGGUCAUCCCGACUUACCAACCCGAUGCAAACUGCGAAUACCGGAGAAUGUUAUCACGGGAGACACACGGCGGGUGCUAACGUCCGUCGUGAAGAGGGAAACAACCCAGACCGCCAGCUAAGGUCCCAAAGUCAUGGUUAAGUGGGAAACGAUGUGGGAAGGCCCAGACAGCCAGGAUGUUGGCUUAGAAGCAGCCAUCAUUUAAAGAAAGCGUAAUAGCUCACUGGUCGAGUCGGCCUGCGCGGAAGAUGUAACGGGGCUAAACCAUGCACCGAAGCUGCGGCAGCGACGCUUAUGCGUUGUUGGGUAGGGGAGCGUUCUGUAAGCCUGUGAAGGUGUGCUGUGAGGCAUGCUGGAGGUAUCAGAAGUGCGAAUGCUGACAUAAGUAACGAUAAAGCGGGUGAAAAGCCCGCUCGCCGGAAGACCAAGGGUUCCUGUCCAACGUUAAUCGGGGCAGGGUGAGUCGACCCCUAAGGCGAGGCCGAAAGGCGUAGUCGAUGGGAAACAGGUUAAUAUUCCUGUACUUGGUGUUACUGCGAAGGGGGGACGGAGAAGGCUAUGUUGGCCGGGCGACGGUUGUCCCGGUUUAAGCGUGUAGGCUGGUUUUCCAGGCAAAUCCGGAAAAUCAAGGCUGAGGCGUGAUGACGAGGCACUACGGUGCUGAAGCGACAAAUGCCCUGCUUCCAGGAAAAGCCUCUAAGCAUCAGGUAACAUCGAAUCGUACCCCAAACCGACACAGGUGGUCAGGUAGAGAAUACCAAGGCGCUUGAGAGAACUCGGGUGAAGGAACUAGGCAAAAUGGUGCCGUAACUUCGGGAGAAGGCACGCUGAUAUGUAGGUGAAGCGACUUGCUCGUGGAGCUGAAAUCAGUCGAAGAUACCAGCUGGCUGCAACUGUUUAUUAAAAACACAGCACUGUGCAAACACGAAAGUGGACGUAUACGGUGUGACGCCUGCCCGGUGCCGGAAGGUUAAUUGAUGGGGUUAGCGCAAGCGAAGCUCUUGAUCGAAGCCCCGGUAAACGGCGGCCGUAACUAUAACGGUCCUAAGGUAGCGAAAUUCCUUGUCGGGUAAGUUCCGACCUGCACGAAUGGCGUAAUGAUGGCCAGGCUGUCUCCACCCGAGACUCAGUGAAAUUGAACUCGCUGUGAAGAUGCAGUGUACCCGCGGCAAGACGGAAAGACCCCGUGAACCUUUACUAUAGCUUGACACUGAACAUUGAGCCUUGAUGUGUAGGAUAGGUGGGAGGCUUUGAAGUGUGGACGCCAGUCUGCAUGGAGCCGGCCUUGAAAUACCACCCUUUAAUGUUUGAUGUUCUAACGUUGGCCCCUUAUCGGGGUUGCGGACAGUGUCUGGUGGGUAGUUUGACUGGGGCGGUCUCCUCCUAAAGAGUAACGGAGGAGCACGAAGGUUGGCUAAUCCUGGUCGGACAUCAGGAGGUUAGUGCAAUGGCAUAAGCCAGCUUGACUGCGAGCGUGACGGCGCGAGCAGGUGCGAAAGCAGGUCAUAGUGAUCCGGUGGUUCUGAAUGGAAGGGCCAUCGCUCAACGGAUAAAAGGUACUCCGGGGAUAACAGGCUGAUACCGCCCAAGAGUUCAUAUCGACGGCGGUGUUUGGCACCUCGAUGUCGGCUCAUCACAUCCUGGGGCUGAAGUAGGUCCCAAGGGUAUGGCUGUUCGCCAUUUAAAGUGGUACGCGAGCUGGGUUUAGAACGUCGUGAGACAGUUCGGUCCCUAUCUGCCGUGGGCGCUGGAGAACUGAGGGGGGCUGCUCCUAGUACGAGAGGACCGGAGUGGACGCAUCACUGGUGUUCGGGUUGUCAUGCCAAUGGCACUGCCCGGUAGCUAAAUGCGGAAGAGAUAAGUGCUGAAAGCAUCUAAGCACGAAACUUGCCCCGAGAUGAGUUCUCCCUGACCCUUUAGGGUCCUGAAGGAACGUUGAAGACGACGACGUUGAUAGGCCGGGUGUGUAAGCGCAGCGAUGCGUUGAGCUAACCGGUACUAAUGAACCGUGAGGCUUAACCUUACAACGCCGAAGGUGUUU